RNAcentral lists this ribosomal RNA (263 nucleotides) under uncultured bacterium. Its description in RNAcentral is "partial 16S ribosomal RNA". It matches the Rfam family "Bacterial small subunit ribosomal RNA", at positions 28 to 290 of the family's 1533-position model. The record is from RNAcentral.
GACGAACGCUGGCGGCGUGCUUAACACAUGCAAGUCGAGCGGUAAGGCCCUUUCGGGGGUACACGAGCGGCGAACGGGUGAGUAACACGUGGGUGACCUGCCUUUAGCUCUGGGAUAAGCCUGGGAAACUGGGGUCUAAUACCGGAUAUGACCCUAUGGCGCAUGUUGUGGGGUGGAAAGCCUUGUGCGGCUAGGGGAUGGGCCCGCGGCCUAUCAGCUUGUUGGUGGGGUGAUGGCCUACCAAGGCGACGACGGGUAGCCGG